This 423-nucleotide ribosomal RNA is filed under the name uncultured bacterium. RNAcentral describes it as "bacterial SSU rRNA". It matches the Rfam family "Bacterial small subunit ribosomal RNA", at positions 362 to 776 of the family's 1533-position model. The record is from RNAcentral.
UCUUCGGCAAUGGACGAAAGUCUGACCGAGCAACGCCGCGUGAGUGAAGAAGGUUUUCGGAUCGUAAAACUCUGUUGUUAGAGAAGAACAAGGAUGAGAAGAGAAUGUUCAUCCCUUGACGGUAUCUAACCAGAAAGCCACGGCUAACUACGUUCCAGCAGCCGCGGUAAUACGUAGGUGGCAAGCGUUGUCCGGAUUUAUUGGGCGUAAAGCGGGCGCAGGCGGUUCGUUAAGUCUGAUGUGAAAGCCCCCGGUUCAACCGGGGAGGGUCAUUGGAAGCUGGGGAACUUGAGUGCAGAAGAGGAGAGUGGAAUUCCAUGUGUAGCGGUGAAAGGCGUAGGUAUAUGGAGGAACACCAGUGGCGAAGGCGGCUCUCUGGUCUGUAACUGACGCUGAGGCUAGAAAGCGUGGGGAGCAAACAGG